UUGACAUGAGUAUAUCAAGAAUAUUCACCUCUCCAGGUGGCAUAGGGGAGCAUAGGGCUCUGCCCCAUGAUGUACAGUCCCUUUCCACAACGUUGGAGAUGAAGCUGGGCUUUGUGUCUGCACCUGCAUAUUCCUACGACUUCUCAGAGUCUGUGGACUAUGACUGAGGAGACAAACCAUGCAGGAAACAAAG
RNAcentral lists this small nucleolar RNA (193 nucleotides) under Marmota monax (woodchuck). RNAcentral's name for it is "Small nucleolar RNA SNORA73 family". It matches the Rfam family "Small nucleolar RNA SNORA73 family". Rfam says of the family: U17 (SNORA73A and SNORA73B) also known as E1 belongs to the H/ACA class of small nucleolar RNAs (snoRNAs). Vertebrate U17 is intron-encoded and ranges in length from 200-230 nucleotides, longer than most snoRNAs. Lineage: Eukaryota; Metazoa; Chordata; Mammalia; Rodentia; Sciuridae. The record is from Rfam by way of RNAcentral.